GUCGCGCGUGCUCUGCUAGCUGUGUGAUUCUGACUUAGUCGAGCUUCAUCAUACACUUUCAGCUGAUAAUUAGUUCUGAUAUCAAAACUUAAUCGAGACUCAUCAUACACUUUCGGCUGAUAAUUAAUUCUGAUAUCAACUGUGACGCCCCACUUUUCAAUAAAUCAUUCAUCCUAAAACCACUCUACUCCACUACAUUUAACCCUUUUAAUCUCUUGAGUCUAUCCAUCGUCUAACACGUUAUCGUCUCGUUAAGAGCCUAUUAUAUCUCAUAUAUAAAACUAUUCUAAAUUCUAAU
Molecule: long non-coding RNA, 298 nt
Filed under: Ananas comosus (pineapple)
Lineage: Eukaryota; Viridiplantae; Streptophyta; Magnoliopsida; Poales; Bromeliaceae
Description: long non-coding RNA (ACOM_LNC004966)
Source: RNAcentral